This 194-nucleotide ribosomal RNA is filed under the name Eubacterium limosum. RNAcentral describes it as "partial 16S ribosomal RNA". It matches the Rfam family "Bacterial small subunit ribosomal RNA", at positions 1 to 175 of the family's 1533-position model. Lineage: Bacteria; Bacillati; Bacillota; Clostridia; Eubacteriales; Eubacteriaceae. The record is from RNAcentral.
UAUUUAUUGAGAGUUUGAUCCUGGCUCAGGACGAACGCUGGCGGUAUGCUUAACACAUGCAAGUCGAACGAGAAGGUUUUGAUGGAUCCUUCGGGUGACAUUAGAACUGGAAAGUGGCGAACGGGUGAGUAACGCGUGGGUAACCUGCCCUAUGGAAAGGAAUAGCCUCGGGAAACUGGGAGUAAAGCCUUAUA